This 9376-nucleotide long non-coding RNA is filed under the name Gossypium barbadense (sea-island cotton). Its description in RNAcentral is "long non-coding RNA (GBAR_LNC020428)". Lineage: Eukaryota; Viridiplantae; Streptophyta; Magnoliopsida; Malvales; Malvaceae. The record is from RNAcentral.
UCUCGGUCUCAUUUCAAUAUUUCCUCUCAUUCUUUUUCGUGGGAGCGAGAAACCCAAAGGUUGUCUGCCGUUUCUUUUUUUUUUUUGGUGAUAUUGAAAUCCCCUGUUUUCGCUCUGUGUUUGAAAUCUUUCAAUGUCGGUCUGUCUGUUUCUUUUUGGUUGUUUUAUUGAUCUCUUCCUGUAUAUGCAUACAGCGAUUCAAACCAAGAACGAACGGUUCAAUCAGAGCGAGUUUCAGGUUUGGUGCGCGUUAAACGCACCGUCGCAUCGGCUCCCAAAGUGUAGAAAAUCGCCAUCAAUCGUGUAAGUGUAGAAAACCUUUUCUUGUUUUUGCUUAGCAGAAUAAUUUUGGGGUAAGGUUUUUUUGGGCCUGAGUCACGCUUAGAUUUCGGCUUAUCAUUUAUAUUUUUGUCAUUAUAGUUAACUUUUCCAAAUAACAUGACACUAGUUCCAUUCUGUUUCUUUCCAUGUUUCAAAUCUAUGGAUCUCAUUCUGUUUGUUUCCUGUGUUCUUUUGUGAGAUAGAUACCUAAUUUUUCUCCUCCUGUAGAUGCAUAUUGCAAUGCAAACCAAGAACGAACGGUUCAAUCAGAACGAGUUUCGGGUUUGUUGAGCGUCAAAUGCGCCGUCGCUUCGACUCCUAGAGUGUAGAAAAUCGCCAUCAAUCGUGUAAGUGUAGAAAACCUUUUCUUGUUUUUGCUUAGCAGAAUAAUUUUGGGGUAAGGUUUUUUUGGGCCUGAGUCACGCUUAGAUUUCGGCUUAUCAUUUAUAUUUUUGUCAUUAUAGUUAACUUUUCCAAAUAACAUGACACUAGUUCCAUUCUGUUUCUUUCCAUGUUUCAAAUCUAUGGAUCUCAUUCUGUUUGUUUCCUGUGUUCUUUCGUGAGAUAGAUACCUAAUUUUUCUCCUCCUGUAGAUGCAUAUUGCAAUGCAAACCAAGAACGAACGGUUCAAUCAGAACGAGUUUCGGGUUUGUUGAGCGUCAAAUGCGCCGUCGCUUCGACUCCUAGAGUGUAGAAAAUCGCCAUCAAUCGUGUAAGUGUAGAAAACCUUUUCUUGUUUUUGCUUAGCAGAAUAAUUUUGGGGUAAGGUUUUUUUGGGCCUGAGUCACGCUUAGAUUUCGGCUUAUCAUUUAUAUUUUUGUCAUUAUAGUUAACUUUUCCAAAUAACAUGACACUAGUUCCAUUCUGUUUCUUUCCAUGUUUCAAAUCUAUGGAUCUCAUUCUGUUUGUUUCCUGUGUUCUUUCGUGAGAUAGAUACCUAAUUUUUCUCCUCCUGUAGAUGCAUAUUGCAAUGCAAACCAAGAACGAACGGUUCAAUCAGAACGAGUUUCGGGUUUGUUGAGCGUCAAAUGCGCCGUCGCUUCGACUCCUAGAGUCUGGAAAAUCAUCGUCAAUCCUGUAAGUGUAGAAAAUCUUUUCUUGUUUUUGCCUAGCAGAAUAAUUUUUGUAAUAUCCGCUGAGCAGAAUACUUUUCCUCUCUGUUUUUAGUUGAUAUAUUCUUCUUUUCUUGUUUUUGCUUAGCAGAGUAAUAUUGGGGUUUGGUAUUUUUGAGCCUGAAUCACGAUUAGAUUUCGGCUUUUCAUUUAUAUUUUUGUCAUUAUAUUUACUUUUCCAAUUAACAUGACCCUAGUUCCAUUGCUCCCAAGACUGAAGAAAAUAUCUAUUAUUAAGAUUUUUGUAAUAUUCGCUGAGCAGAAUAAUUUUCCUCUCUGUUUUUAGUUGAUAUAUUCUUCUUUUCUUGUUUUUGCUUAGUAGAAUAAUUUUGUGGUUUGGUUUUUUUGGGCCCAAAUCACGCUUAGAAUUUGGCUUAUCAUUUAUAUUUUUGUCAUUAUAGUUCAUUUUCCAAAUAACAUUACACUAGUUCCUUUGCUCUCAGAACUCAGGAUAAUAUCUGUAUAAUAUUUUUGUAAUUUCUGCUUAGCAGAAUACUAUUCCUCUCUGUUUUUAGUUGACAUAUGCUUCUUUUUGCUAAUAUGUUCUGUGGUUUUUAUUAAGAUUGGUUAAUGAAUCAUUAUGGGCCUCGGGGAAGUGUUUCCGGGAUUCAUUAGUUAAAAUUUGUUCAAUUUUUUUUAAAAAAUGAAAUUUUUAUUUUUAAUAAAAAUAUUAGUUAAAAUUUUAAACAUUUCAACACUUUUUAAAUUUUAAUGAAUUAUAAAUAUUUUGAAUUUUUAAAAUAAUUUUAAUUUAUUUGACAAGAAAAUUUAACACUGAUUUAAAAUUUAAAAUAGAUACAUUAAAUAGCUUCCAACGUCUCUCUAAAUUCUGGAUGAGAGACACUUCUUUCUCCUCUAAAUUGUGUCUCCUUUGUUUCCCUUUAUUCUUACUUUUACCUUUUUUAUUAUUAUUUUUUUAUUUUCUCGUCCUCCCUUUCUUUACUUCACAGAUUCUAUUGGGGUCUCUUUCAAUUUUUUUUCCUGACCUCUCUUUUUUAACUUUUGUGUAAACGCAUGCUGAAAUAAAGUACUUGCUACAACAGGAUAUUGAAAUCCCCUUCUUCAUCGAAUUGUGAUUUCAGGUAUGAUUUUCAGUUCUACUAACUUUCCUUUUUUAUGUCUUUUUAAGUUUCAGACCCAUGCGUAUCUUUUAUUUCUGCGGGUAUUGUGGUUGUUAUCUCUGUUUUAGUUUUCAGAUUUAUUGUGCUUCUUUUUUUUUUUUUUUAGUGUUUUUGUUAUACGUGUCGAUGUUCAGCCUUAUGAAACACAUCUUAUAUUUGUCAUUUUAAAUCUUUCGAUGUCGUCAUUUUUUUGAUAGUUUAUUGUCUGUCAUGUGUUUUAUUUUUUUUUCCGAUUGUUUGUUUCCCUUUGUUUUGAAGGACAUUUUCUUGCAAAUCCUGGAAUAAUCGAAUCCUAUUUAUGAGAUUUUAGAGCGAAGAUAUGUUUCUAAUACGUAUCUACCAUAAAACCCUAAAUGAUUAACACAAAAUAAAUGGAAUCGUUUUCAUGUUUCUUUUUCUUUUUUUGUCUCCUUAUUUUAUCGUUUUGAACAAGUAAUAACAUUAUAUUUCAAUAGUUUUCCUUUCUUUAUAGAAAUUCGAACUACCAAUCGAGAAGUUUGGUGCUUAAUAUGAUUUUGUUUAAUAUGCUAUUCUAAUAUGCGCAAGAGCACGAAAUUGUCUAGAAAUUUUGUUAAACAUGUCUAUUUAUUUCUUAAGAAGGUGCAAGGAAGUUUCUUCCAAUAACAACAAAUUAGUACCAGAAAAUAUUAUGACUGAUAGGUAGAAUUUGUAUGGUGAAGGGCAGAAGGCGCAUUCUAGGUGCUAAAAUUCUUUUAUUUCCGGAGGUGCGAGGGGCAAAAAAUUUAAAAAAAGAGCUUCCCUAAGUGCAGUAAGGCAUAAGAUAUCUGUGUCAAUCUAUUUAUAUACCAAGGUUAAUAUAUAUAGAUAUGAUAAUAAACUCUAAAUUGUGAUCCAGCUUAUCUAUAAAACGUUCAAAUUUUUUUUUUUAUAUUAAUAGACCAAUCUGCAUGAUUUCGUUAUGAUCCCAUGUCUUUCGAGGUGCAAUUGCUAGGCAUAAACCUUUGACAUUGAAGGUUGCAAUACCUUGGUUGAUGCUCAAUACUAUGUUCCAAAUUGUAUUGAAUUUUAUGUUGCCACUAUGUUCAUUUAUUUCUGCAUGUUUGUUAUUAAGUUGAACUUGCAUGGUUUUUUUAUUAUAGUACAAAAUGUUUAAUCACUGAAUGCAAUCUGGAUUGAAGUAGACUUGAAAGUUGUUAAUAGGAAGAUUGAUUAACUUUUCUACUUGAGAAGAUUCCCCUUAGCUCGGUUGCUAGCAUUACGUGGUAAAUUUAAAUUUAAAUAUGAAAAUUCUUGUUAGAAAAGGGUUAAGAAUUUAACCGCCCUGUUCUACACUAGUUUAAAUAGAAGAGAUUUUUGUAACUUUAGAAACCUACUAUUAUGAAAUUAGUUUUUUGUCCAGAUUACGCCGAAUGCAUGCUACUAGAAUUUCCGCAUCCAAAUUUCUACCUUAUGUGGUAUUCUUCUUUUCUGAUUGUAUUGCUUUCUUCUAUUUCUAACAUGUAGAUGAAAUGUUGAGACAUGCAUCUGUGUCAUCAGUUGCACGCUUGUUAAGCAAUCUUCAUAGUCAUGAUUUGUUUGUACUUUUCUGCUACAAUCCUCCUCCCUUGAAUUGUUCGGUUUGAAAUUUCUCAACUUUCCUAGACAUGUGGUUUGUCUUUAGUUCUCUUGGAAUAGUUUCAAUCCUGUCUGCAAAAUUCUAUGUUUUUAACACAAAUUUUUCUUGAUUUUAAAAGGGAAUGUUUCUUGCUUUUAGUGGAUACUUUUGAAAUUGAUGGGUGGUAUAAGUGAUACCCGUAAUGAGUUCUUUUGGGUGCUUUCUCAGUGGUAUUUGUUGAUGUUUGCAGAUCAGAUCUCCAGUAUCUUUUGGUUAUUACAUUCAGACCUUAUGAGGCUAGGGUUACAGCUGUAAAGAGAAUCCACGAAGUACGAGAAGGGAGGAAGAGAGAAUAAUGAAAACAAACCCCUGCUUCAUGGGAGUCAUUUCAGGUAUGAAUAUUUACAUUAACUGUGUAUUUGCCUUUUCAUGUAUUUUUUUAAUUUCAGAUCUCUGCUUCUCUCCUUUGUUUUUUCUCUUGGUUUUUUGUUUUUCAUAUUUGUUGAUGUUUGCAGAUCAGAUUUCCAGUAUCUUUUGGUUAUUACAUUCAGACCUUUAUGAGGCUAGGGUUAUAACUGUAAAGAGAAUCCACGAAGUACGAGAAGGGAGGAAGAGAGAAUAAAAGAAAACAAACCCUUGCUUCAUGGGAGUCAUUUUAGGUAUGAAUAUUUACAUUAACUGUGUAUUUGCCUUAUCAUGUAUUUUUUUAAUUUCAGAUCUCUGCUUCUCUCCUUUGUUUUUUCUGUUGGUUUUUGGUUUUUCAUCUUUAGAAUAUGUUUGUCUCUACUUUUUCAUCUCUAUUUUAAUUCUCAGAUCAAUGCUUCUCUCUUUGUUUUUCAGUUUGCUUUUGUUUGAGUUUUUGGUUCUCUUUGUCUUUACUUUUUCAUCUCUAUUUAGAUGGGGCGGUUUCGUGGUUUUUGGAUCUGGUUCGUGUUUUUUUUUGUUCUGGGCCUAUUUUUCCUUUAUUUCUAACGUUCCUUUCUCCUUAAUAGCUACUCUUUUUCCCUUUACCAAUAUUUUCCUUCUCUUGUUUUUUCUUCUCUUAGCCUCUUUUCCUGUGUUUUCUUCAAUCUAUAGCUCUCCCAUUCAUUAGCCCUUUCUCUCUCUCUCAAUAUCCUUUCAAUUUUUUCCUCGAAAUUUUUAGCUUCGGGUAAAUUACGAAACCAAUUACCCUACCCCUCUAAAUAUUUUAUCUUACUGAUAAAAAUAACAUAAAAUAUUAUAAUAUUGUUAUGCUGUAAAAUAAAAACCCGAAGUUUUUGUCCGUUAAAGCAAGAUCCAUUGUCAUUAGCUUCUUUCUCUCUCUCGAAAAAGGAAAAGAAAAGGUUUGAAUUCAUGAAUCAGCGGAAGCUUCUUCCUAAUGAGAGAGUCGAGGUAGUGAUCUUUUUAGGUAUAAAUUUUGGUUCUUUUAAAAAAUUCUUGUUUUUUCUUCACCUUUUAUUAUUCUGUUUGGUUUCUGAUUGAAGAAAAUCGAGGGAAAUUUGUUUCAAACUUGCAAUUAGUCUUUGUUUUUUUAAAAUAAUUACUGAUCCACCUGUGAGUGGGCAAAUUCUGUUCAUUCUUCUUUUUCGGAAAUUUUGUUCUCUUACUGAAUUACUUAAAAAAUACAUGCCUUUCGGUUGAUCCCUUGAUAGAAGCUUCGAUUUGUCUUGUUUCACUGCUUUCAUUUGAUUUUUGAAGAAGUUAAGGUUGCAAAUUUGAAAUUAAUUUUCCCUCAUUUUCCGAGUAACCAAUCGUAAGCUUAUUUUAUCUUGCAAAUUAGUGAUUCCGGAAUCAUUUGUAACUCUUGUUAGACAAGGUUUAAUAGAGAACCGAACUCAUUUGAAUUCCGUAAAUCUUCUGGAGUGCAAUGCCUUGACUAUUAAAUUAAUUUGGAUAUAGAUAAUUUCCAAAACUCAAUUUUGAUACCGAACCUGUUAGUUUGGUCAUGUAAGUUUUCCGAUUUCCCCAUUAUUCAAUUUCGAACGUCUUUUAUAAUUCUCUCUGUUAAUUUCCCCAAAAUAGUAGUAGUGAUUUAAAGAAGGUUAUAAUUACCAUAAAUAAUAUCGUUGCAUUAUUCAUAAUCUGAACCUGCUUUUAUGUUAUUUGGACAAUUCUUUGGAUUUUUCUGUGUAGUCGUAAAGAAUUUUUUAUCCGGUACAGAUUUUUAUCUGUCCUGUUGUAGUUAAUUUACUUUCUUAUUCUGCUCCGACUUUAUUCCUGUCAUAUACCUUCUCUGAAUAAGCUAUUCCCAGAAUAGACUAUAUUUUCUCAUUCUGGUUCACAAUUUUUAGCCUCCGUUUUAAGAGUUUUAACAGCUAGUUCAGAUUUUUUUCUUAUCUGGAUCGAUCUAUGUGAUAUACUUAUUCCACUCAGGGAUAUCCCAUUCUACGGAUAGCCCAGUUUGGUUGUUUCCCAUACAGGUGGAACCCGGCUUGGGUAUAUCCCAUUCUCUUAAUAUCCCGUUUCGGGUUUUUAUGUUAUUGAUUAUAAUUAUUUGGAUUUUUUCUGUUUCGUCGUAAAAAAUGUUAAUGAAAAAGUAGAUUUGUAAUGCACAAUAUAUUCUACAUCGUAUUUUCGUAUUCUCUCAAAGAAUAUAAUAUUUUCUCUUGUCGAAAUAUAAAGAAUGGAAGACUAUUUUUUGCUAUCAUUUGCCUGAAUAACAUCUUCAUUAGUUGCUUUCUCUCUUUUAAUUUCAGGUUUAUGUUUUUUUACUUGUGUUUUUUGUUUAGAAAUUCCUGUUUUGCUAUGUGUUUAAAAUUUUAUGGAUGUGGUCUGUGAGUUACCUUUUUUGUUGUUUUAUGUUGUUUAUCACGAUUUUCUAAAUAAGAGGACCUAAAUUAAAAACACAUAGUCGUUUAAAAAAAAUGGCAGAUACAUGAACAAAUAUUAUAUGAAAAUUAUUGUUUUCCCAAUAAAGUUGUCAAUAACCAAAACGCUCUUUUUAUAAACUCCUUAAUAUUAAGGGGUAAACCAGGUCGAAUCCAAUGAGUGAGUCGAGGUAGUGCUAGUCUUUCUUUUAAGCUAUAAAUUUUGAUUCUUAUAAAAAAUAUUGUUUUUUCUUCAUCUCAUUUUAUUCUGUUUGGUUCCUGAUUGAAGAAAAUCGAGGGAAAUUUGUUUAAAACUCGACAUUAGUUGUUUUUCUUAAAAAAAAUAAUUCCUGAUUCACCUGUGAGUUGGCAAAUUCUGUUCAUCCUGCAUUUUCCCGGAAGCCAAACAUGAGACUUAAAUGUUUUUUAUUUCGAAAAUUUUGUUCUCUGACCGAAGUAUUGAAAAAAUACAUGUCUUUCAGUUGAUCCCUUAACUUUUGUUUCUAUUUUGUGCGUUCUUUUAAAUCCCUUAACUUUUGUCUUUUUUUUCAUCUGUUUUUUAGUUUCUGGUCUAUUCUCCUUUACUUGAAUUUGCAGUGGGUUUUUGUUAGAAAUUUCGGUUUUUUAGCUUUAGAGAAAAUAUGGAUCAUGGUGGGGUCUAACUUCUUGUAUUAAGUUUUUUAUUUUUUGUACUGAUUGGGCUUGAUUUUUUGUUUGUGUCACGCAUUGAUUUCGGCUCAUGUAAUGCUUUUGUUUGGGUCUCGUAUUGGGCUAAUGUUAUAGCUUAGGUUUUUGUCUUCGUUAUUCAUUGAUUUUGGCUCAUGUUAUGCUUUAGUUUGGGUCUCGGAUUGGGCUAAUGUUAUAGCUUAGGUUUGGCUUUUUCUCUGGCCUUGCGUCUGUGUCUGUCCUGUUAGGUUCGGUUUGGGUGGGCUUGGUUAGACUGGGUAGUUUUCUUUUCGGCUUUUGGUUUGUCGGCUCUUGAAUAGUUUGUUUAUGGAAUAGGCUGGUUCGAACAUAAGCUGGCUCGGGAAUAGGCCGGUUUUGGAAUAGUCUGGUUUGGUUAACUUUAGAGUCAGGUUCAUCAUUUGAGGUAAGGUUUUUUUGGGACUGAGUCACGCUUAGGUUUCGACUUAUCAAUUAUAUUUUUGUCAUUAUAGUUCCUUUUCCAAAUAAUAUGACACUAGUUCCAUUUUGUUUCUUUCCAUGUUUCAAAUCUAUGGAUCUCAUUCUGUUUGUUCUAUUUGUUUGUUUCCUGUGUACUUUCGUGAGAUAGAUACCUAAUUUUUCUCUUCCUGUAUAUGCAUAUUGCGAUGAAAACCAAGAAUGAAUGGUUCAAUCAGAGCGAGUUUAGGGUUUGGUGAGUGUCAAAGCUUAGGCUCCCAAAGUGUGGAAAAUCGUUGUUAAUUGUAUAAGUGUAAAAAAUCUUUUCUUGUUAAUUGUAUAAGUUUUGGGUUGUAGAUUAAAAAGGAAUCUGUAGGAUCAUGGGGCUAGACGUUUGUACGCAUGAUGGCGUAUGUUAUUCUUUUUCCUACAUGUAGACUAUAUGAUAAAGAACAUUUCUAACUCAAGAUAUUAGAAAAUAAGGCAGGUAAAGAAAUUAAGGCUGCUUGGGGGCAUCUAAUGUAUCAUCAUUCUAGAAAAUAAGGCAAGUAAAGAAAUUAAGGCUGCUUGGGGGCAUCUAAUGUAUCAUCAUUCUUCAGCAGCUGUUCAUAGAAUUUGAACACUAAGUUCAACAUAGACUUGAGCUCGGCUUGAUACUUUUCUAUAUAUAUAUUAUAUUAUUUUAUGUUAUUUUUAUAUAUUAAAUAAUUUUUAAAUUAUAAAAAUUAAAUCUAUAGUAAUUAAUAAUAUUAUAAUGAAAGCAUACUAUAAAAAUUGUUAAAUUAUCUAUAUAUGUUAAAAAUUGAUAUAAGUAGGCCUAAAAUAGUUUGUGUUAAAUCAUUUACAAACAUAGAUAAGCUUAGGUAAUAUGUUAAGUCUAUAUUUUGGAUCAAGCUUAGAGUAAACAUAAAGUGUAUUAAUAUUUUGUUUAAGUUCAACCUAACCCAUAACACCUCUACGUGAAAGUAUAAUUCAAUUUAUAUCAUUUUUAAUAUUAAUCCAUAUGAAAUUAAAUUGACAUACAUGUUAAAACCAUGAAUAAGGCCAUUUUAAAAUGUAUUUAGGUAUAUGAACUUAAAUAAAAAGAGCCAAGCUAAUUUAUAUUAACAUUUUUACACUUUUAAUUAUGAUAUAACUUUAAUCAUUAUUGCUUUUAAAUAAAUAUGGUGUUUGAAAAAUUUUCAUUCAAAUAUUUUGGCCAGUUCUAACUUUUGAAAAGUGCUUAUGAGAAGUGCUUGGGAAAAGUGUUUUUGAAAAAUUUGAGUGUUUGGCAUUGCUGUCAAAAAGUACUUUUGAAAAAUAAAAUGUUUAUUUUAGACAUAAUAUAAUAAAGUAACGAAUAUGUAUUUAAAUAAUAUUCAAAUUAGUUAAUAUUAU